GGCCGACUGGCCUAAUGGUUAAGGCGUCAGUUUCCGGAGCUGAAGAUUUCUGGGUUCGAAUCCCAGGUUGGUCG
Molecule: transfer RNA, 74 nt
Filed under: Ganoderma lucidum G.260125-1
Lineage: Eukaryota; Fungi; Basidiomycota; Agaricomycetes; Polyporales; Polyporaceae
Description: tRNA-Arg (CCG) (tRNA-Arg-CCG-1-1)
Rfam family: tRNA
About the family: Transfer RNA (tRNA) molecules are approximately 80 nucleotides in length.
Source: RNAcentral